UGAAUGUCCAAGACAGAGACUCAAACAUUC
This 30-nucleotide non-coding RNA is filed under the name Rattus norvegicus (Norway rat). The record is from RNAcentral. Lineage: Eukaryota; Metazoa; Chordata; Mammalia; Rodentia; Muridae.